GCGAGGGUCGCCGAGCCAGGUCAAAGGCGAUAGGUUCAGGGCCUAUUCCCGCAGGGGUUCGUGAGUUCGAAUCUCACCCCUCGCA
Molecule: transfer RNA, 85 nt
Filed under: Methanomicrobiales archaeon
Lineage: Archaea; Methanobacteriati; Methanobacteriota; Methanomicrobia; Methanomicrobiales
Description: tRNA-Leu
Rfam family: tRNA
About the family: Transfer RNA (tRNA) molecules are approximately 80 nucleotides in length.
Source: RNAcentral